GGUUCUCUUUCAGGGACUCAUCUAGCCACCCUGUUGUUGAUUUUCUUCUAGGACAUACCAGAGUCUACUCUUGGAAGAAUUAGACACAAAUUGAAAUUCUCAACAUCUUUGCUCACCAAAGAUUCUGACUACCAUCGGAUUUUCCUUAGAAGGAUAAAAGUGCUGUCAAUAGCCUUUUAAAUUCCUCGUCUUCACACAGAUUUCCCACUUUUUUGCAAAGCUUCUGGUUAUAGUUCUUACCUUGGUUAUAGUUCUGGUGUUUCUAUCACAAGUUUUAGGAUGUUUUAGACCAAAGAAUUAGAAUGAGUAGAGCAAAGACCAAUGGAUAAACAAAGGAGGAAUUUUUCAAGAAGAACACCAUGAUAGCACCUCUCCCUGCAGAGAAUCUGGAAAUCAGUAUCUUUUCUCUUGAAGGUGGCAACUAGAAGACCAAGAUCUCGCUUCUCCCAAGCUCUCAAGGACUCUACCCUUCACACAGUCUGGGAGCACUGAGUAAUCAGUCUCCACCAAUGAGGAGAACCUAUGCAAAUGAAUUUUGAGCUGUGGGUUAAAUGUAAAUUUUAAAAUGUAUAUUUUUCAAUCAUUCCAAAAACACUAAGCACCAAAUCUACAUAUGGUGCUAUUCUAGGCUGGGAAGGAAAACAAGUAAAAGAUGUAUUUCUAGUCCUUUAUGGAGUUGGCAGUCUAGUUGGAAGGGAAAAGCAUAA
Molecule: non-coding RNA, 707 nt
Organism: Phascolarctos cinereus (koala)
Lineage: Eukaryota; Metazoa; Chordata; Mammalia; Diprotodontia; Phascolarctidae
Source: RefSeq, a predicted model, not a curated record